This 900-nucleotide ribosomal RNA is filed under the name Sarocladium kiliense. RNAcentral's name for it is "LSU rRNA". It matches the Rfam family "Eukaryotic large subunit ribosomal RNA", at positions 38 to 964 of the family's 3401-position model. Lineage: Eukaryota; Fungi; Ascomycota; Sordariomycetes; Hypocreales; Sarocladiaceae. The record is from RNAcentral.
GCAUAUCAAUAAGCGGAGGAAAAGAAACCAACAGGGAUUGCCUCAGUAACGGCGAAGUGAAGCGGCAACAGCUCAAAUUUGAAAUCUGGCCGCAAGGUCCGAGUUUGUAAUUUGUAGAGGAUGCUUUUGGCGAGGUGCCUUCCGAGUUCCCUGGAACGGGACGCCAUAGAGGGUGAGAGCCCCGUACGGUAGGACCACCAAGCCUCUGUAAAGCUCCUUCGACGAGUCGAGUAGUUUGGGAAUGCUGCUCUAAAUGGGAGGUGUACGUCUUCUAAAGCUAAAUACCGGCCAGAGACCGAUAGCGCACAAGUAGAGUGAUCGAAAGAUGAAAAGCACUUUGAAAAGAGGGUUAAAAAGUACGUGAAAUUGUUGAAAGGGAAGCAUUCAUGACCAGACUUGGGCUUGGUUGAACAUCCGGCGUUCUCGCCGGUGCACUCUGCCAGUCCAGGCCAGCAUCAGUUUGCCCCGGGGGAUAAAGGCGGCGGGAAUGUGGCUCCCUUCGGGGAGUGUUAUAGCCCGUCGUGUAAUGCCCUGGGGCGGACUGAGGAACGCGCUUCGGCACGGAUGCUGGCGUAAUGGUCAUCAAUGACCCGUCUUGAAACACGGACCAAGGAGUCGUCUUCGUAUGCGAGUGUUCGGGUGUCAAACCCCUACGCGUAAUGAAAGUGAACGUAGGUGAGAGCUUCGGCGCAUCACCGACCGAUCCUGAUGUUCUCGGAUGGAUUUGAGUAAGAGCAUACGGGGCCGGACCCGAAAGAAGGUGAACUAUGCCUGUAUAGGGUGAAGCCAGAGGAAACUCUGGUGGAGGCUCGCAGCGGUUCUGACGUGCAAAUCGAUCGUCAAAUAUGGGCAUGGGGGGCGAAAGACUAAUCGAACCUUCUAGUAGCUGGUUUCCGCCGA